Molecule: microRNA, 23 nt
Filed under: Mus musculus (house mouse)
Lineage: Eukaryota; Metazoa; Chordata; Mammalia; Rodentia; Muridae
Description: mmu-miR-7663-5p
Source: miRBase by way of RNAcentral
GCUGCUUGGUGAUCAUCCACUGU